CAGCCGCCGCGGUAAUACAGAGGGUGCGAGCGUUAAUCGGAUUUACUGGGCGUAAAGCGUGCGUAGGCGGCUUCUUAAGUCGGGUGUGAAAUCCCUGAGCUUAACUUAGGAAUUGCAUUCGAUACUGGGAAGCUAGAGUAUGGGAGAGGAUGGUAGAAUUCCAGGUGUAGCGGUGAAAUGCGUAGAGAUCUGGAGGAAUACCGAUGGCGAAGGCAGCCAUCUGGCCUAAUACUGACGCUGAGGUACGAAAGCAUGGGGAGCAAACAGGAUUAGAUACCCCCGUAGUCCCUGUCUCUUAUAC
Molecule: ribosomal RNA, 301 nt
Filed under: uncultured bacterium
Lineage: Bacteria
Description: partial 16S ribosomal RNA
Rfam family: Bacterial small subunit ribosomal RNA
Source: RNAcentral